RNAcentral lists this ribosomal RNA (252 nucleotides) under uncultured Eubacteriales bacterium. Its description in RNAcentral is "uncultured Clostridiales bacterium partial 16S ribosomal RNA". It matches the Rfam family "Bacterial small subunit ribosomal RNA", at positions 524 to 776 of the family's 1533-position model. The record is from RNAcentral. Lineage: Bacteria; Bacillati; Bacillota; Clostridia; Eubacteriales.
UACGGAGGAUGCGAGCGUUAUCCGGAUUUAUUGGGUUUAAAGGGUGCGUAGGCGGCGAGUUAAGUCAGCGGUAAAAGCCCGGGGCUCAACCCCGGCCCGCCGUUGAAACUGUCUGGCUAGAGUGCAGGAGAGGUAAGUGGAAUUCCUAGUGUAGCGGUGAAAUGCAUAGAUAUUAGGAGGAACACCAGUGGCGAAGGCGGCUUACUGGACUGUAACUGACACUGAGGCUCGAAAGCGUGGGGAGCAAACAGG